This 497-nucleotide ribosomal RNA is filed under the name uncultured bacterium. RNAcentral's name for it is "partial 16S ribosomal RNA". It matches the Rfam family "Bacterial small subunit ribosomal RNA", at positions 28 to 507 of the family's 1533-position model. The record is from RNAcentral.
GAUGAACGCUGGCGGCGUGCCUAAUACAUGCAAGUCGAGCGAACGGACGAGAAGCUUGCUUCUCUGAUGUUAGCGGCGGACGGGUGAGUAACACGUGGAUAACCUACCUAUAAGACUGGGAUAACUUCGGGAAACCGUAGCUAAUACCGGAUAAUAUUUUGAACCGCAUGGUUCAAAAGUGAAAGACGGUCCUGCUGUCACUUAUAGAUGGACCCGCGCUGCAUUAGCUAGUUGGUAAGGUAACGGCUUACCAAGGCAACGAUGCAUAGCCGACCUGAGAGGGUGAUCGGCCACACUGGAACUGAGACACGGUCCAGACUCCUACGGGAGGCAGCAGUAGGGAAUCUUCCGCAAUGGGCGAAAGCCUGACGGAGCAACGCCGCGUGAGUGAUGAAGGUCUUCGGAUCGUAAAACUCUGUUAUUAGGGAAGAACAUAUGUGUAAGUAACUGUGCACAUCUUGACGGUACCUAAUCAGAAAGCCACGGCUAACUACGUG